ACAAGAUGUUAGGAUUGUAAAGGCAUUCGUUGAUAACCUUAUCGAAGAUCCAGCAUCGCUUGCUGGGCAGCUGGUGGAUACUUUCUCUGAUGUUAUCUCAAGCAAGAGAUCCUCUGUAGUUCCUGGAGGCUUUUGUCUGAAGCUUUGGCAUUAACGGAUUCAGAAUGGAUCCUCUUCUCUCUGCUUCAUGAUUUAUAAUUGCAAAUCCAUGGGGUUGCUUCUGCCCAAUUGAUCCACAUUUCUCUCUGGUGGUUAUGAAGUUGGAGUUGGAAUGAAAGGGAUCUGCUGUAAGAUUAUCUGAAAUAAAUAUCUAUUGGAUAUUUGAUUCUUUUGAACUAGAGAUGUUACUUGAUUUGUUAAGCAUGAAGAUUUUGAUGUUCAUUAGAAGUAGUGCCUUUAGUUUGGAUGUCAAGAAGAAGAUGAAUAUUUAUGAACUGGAAUGUUUUGAAGAGAAACGUAUCAAAACCUUCAGUAUGUGGUGCAUUGCAACUUCAAAAUGUAGAAGCAAUUUUCUGAAGA
Non-coding RNA from Nicotiana tabacum (common tobacco), 519 nucleotides. Lineage: Eukaryota; Viridiplantae; Streptophyta; Magnoliopsida; Solanales; Solanaceae. The record is from RefSeq and is a predicted model, not a curated record.